Molecule: unclassified non-coding RNA, 327 nt
Filed under: Hevea brasiliensis (rubber tree)
Lineage: Eukaryota; Viridiplantae; Streptophyta; Magnoliopsida; Malpighiales; Euphorbiaceae
Source: RNAcentral
UUUUUUUUUUUUUUUUCAUUUCUCAUUCUUGAAAAGUUUGGUAAGCAAUUGGUUUGCUUUCAAUGGAGUUCACAUGCCAAGAUAGAGAUCCACCAACCCAAAUCUUAUAGUAAAAUCCAAAAGGAGACCGGUAAGAUUUUCCAAAAAUUUCUAAAGCAAUCACAAGGGAGAAGAAAGAAAGUGAUGCAGCCUCUAUGUGGGUAGGGUUGCAUUCGGUGAAGACCGAAAGCAAUUUUCCAAAAAUUUCAAAAGCAAUCACAAGGGAGAAGAAAGAAAGUGAUGCAGCCUCUAUGUGGGUAGGGUUGCAUUCGGUGAAGACCGAAAGCA